RNAcentral lists this ribosomal RNA (506 nucleotides) under uncultured bacterium. Its description in RNAcentral is "partial 16S ribosomal RNA". It matches the Rfam family "Bacterial small subunit ribosomal RNA", at positions 29 to 523 of the family's 1533-position model. The record is from RNAcentral.
AUUGAACGCUGGCGGCAGGCCUAACACAUGCAAGUCGAACGGUAGCACAGGAGAGCUUGCUCUCUGGGUGACGAGUGGCGGACGGGUGAGUAAGGCAUGGGGAGCUGCCCAAUCGAGGGGGAUACCAGCUGGAAACGGCUGCUAAUACCGCAUACGCCCUGCGGGGGAAAGGUGGGGACCUUCGGGCCUACCGCGAUUGGAUGCACCCAUGUGGGAUUAGCUGGUUGGUGAGGUAACGGCUCACCAAGGCGACGAUCUCUAGCUGGUCUGAGAGGAUGACCAGCCACACUGGAACUGAGACACGGUCCAGACUCCUACGGGAGGCAGCAGUGGGGAAUAUUGCACAAUGGGGGAAACCCUGAUGCAGCCAUGCCGCGUGUGAGAAGAAGGCCUUCGGGUUGUAAAGCACUUUCAGUGGGGAGGAAGGGGCGAUGCCUAAUACGCAUUGUCAUUGACGUUACCCACAGAAGAAGCACCGGCUAACUCCGUGCCAGCCGCCGCGGUAA